This 163-nucleotide non-coding RNA is filed under the name bovine gut metagenome. Its description in RNAcentral is "malK-I RNA". It matches the Rfam family "malK-I RNA". The record is from RNAcentral.
CGGGCGUAUUACUCCACAAAAAUAAUACGUCGCGAGGAAAAAGGAGGGAAAAAUACCGUGGCCUGCGGUGCGGCAGUGUGGAGACCUGUCGUAUAUGCGGAUGGAAUGAUCCGUGAGGUUACAGCAUGCGGAGGCACUGUAACUAAGGCAAGAAAGGAUGGCA